Molecule: long non-coding RNA, 1384 nt
Organism: Lolium rigidum
Lineage: Eukaryota; Viridiplantae; Streptophyta; Magnoliopsida; Poales; Poaceae
Exons: 4
Source: RefSeq, a predicted model, not a curated record
CUGCCAACUAGAUGAUACUUCUCAGAGUGGCAAAACAGAUAUGUAUUCAGGCCCAGAUCUUCCAGAGGACAUGUGGCACCAUAUACAUUCCUUAAUGCCUCUGAGAGAUGCUGCCCGAGCCGCCUGCCUGUCUCAAUCCUUUCGGUAUUCUUGGAAACGCCGUCCCAACCUAAUUUUGAGUACGGAAACAUUGGGCUUGGACGAACAUGCACAUCAAAAGGAAGCAGAUAUGGAUUUCAGAAUCAAAAUUGACCACAUCCUUAGAAACCACUCUGACACUGGACUGAGAAAACUCAAACUUAGGUCGAUUCCAAAUUACAAUGCCAAGGACUCUGAUUAUAUUGAUAGAUGGCUUCAAAUCGCUUUUACACAAGCAAUUGAAGAACUCACCCUUACCCUGUGUCUAGACAGUCACAAAUACAAGUUCCCGUGCACACUUUUAUCGAAUGGGAUGGCAGACUCGCUUCGUCAUCUUUUCCUUGCCGGUUGUUCCUUUCAUCCUACACCUGGGCUUUGUUGCUUGAGAAGCCUGACAAAAUUAGAGCUGGUUAUGGUGCGUAACUGCGUACUACAGGGGACACGUUAUGGAGCCUUCUUUCCAGUUCUUCAGCUUUAGAACGGCUUUCACUUAAUUGUUGCAACAAAGUAAGCUACUUGAAGAUACCUUGCCAUCUUCAGCGGCUAAGCCACGUGGAGGUGCAUGAAUGCAGCAAGCUGCGAGUGAUAGAGAGCAAAGCUCCAAAUCUCUCCAGAUUUCACUUUCUAGGUAAGCUCAAGGUACAAAUCUCACUUGGAGAAACAUUGCAAGUGAAGAACUUGCACAUGAACUGUACCGAUUUUGGUUGUGAUACUCGAGCAGAACUGGCAUGCAGCAUGCUAAGCAAGGAGGUGAUCAAUUCACCAAAUGUUUAUAGUAAAUUUCUUGAGCUGAAGUCCUUGAAUAUUACACUAGGAGAAUUGCCCUUCGGUCGGAGCUUUGAUUGUUCUUCUCUGGUCUCUUUGUUUGGUGCUUCACUCUCUUUGGAGACCUUCAUCUCGCAUGUUUCCAAUGAACUCAAGCAGCAUGCAAUGGCUUUUGGAGAUCCUUCGGGGCUGUGGAUCUUGGGGACCGGCGGUGUUUUGUCCCCAAUGAAUAAGGGGCUGGUUGAGUUAGCAUGUCAUGUGCUCAGAGCCUGGUUAAGCUAAAAUGCCCCAUCCUGGGGACUGCAGCAUCGCUUGUACUGAACAACAGAUAAGUGUACAUGGUAAUACCAAAUGCUUUAAGCGCUUGGCCAUCGAAAACUAAACUAGGCAAAGUGUGAGCCUUUGUGAAGCUGUUCAACAUGAGAUGUCAAGUUGUGUGGUACUUAUAGUUUGUUAUAAAGCUGUAGCUAGAUCCUGUUUU